AGCCCUACUCUCAAAAACUGAAAGGGAUGUAACAGUGUCUGUGAAGCUGGACUUAAGAAAUAACUGCUUAAAGUUUUAAAAGGAUGUUUAGCACCAUCUUCUGUCAGCACGGGAUGUUAUGUCACCAGGUCGGUCGGUUGGUUGGUUGCAGCAAAUACACUUACAUUAGUUUAUCUUAGCUAACUAGUGACAGAAUUGAUAACUUGGAGGAAAAUAAGGACACUAAACCUAAAAAUCAGUUUAAGGGGAUCAGUUUCAGGCUGCAAGAAACCAAGGAUAUACUGUCCACUUUGACUGUCUUUGUCUCUAGCAGUAUUUGGCUCCUUGUUAUUUGACUAGUUGCACUGAAAAGGGAAAAUCCAGUGGUUAGCUGUAAUGUAACUAACAGCUAGCAGAUACUGCAUGUUAGCUGCAAUGUAAUAUCAGGUCCUUAAGCUUCUUAGUCAUUAUUUUUAGUUUGUAUUCUGUUUUUGGUUGGUGUUAGAGUUGUUCUUUAUAUUUGAUUCUUUUCUUUAGUUUAGUCUAGCCUCUCUAGUAUUCCCUCCCAUCUUAUUAUCUACUCUAUCUCUGUCUUAGGUAUUAAUGUUGUGUUAUUUACCUUUAAUCCUGCUGGCUUGCCUUUAAAGUCUGUUUUUUUUUUUUUAGCUCCCUUUAAAUAAGGUUUAUAACAUAUUUACACAAUGGGUGAAGUUAAGACAGUCUAACACGUUGUUUGUGUUGUCUGGUAUGCAGUGGAAUGGUGAAUUAACUUCUCCACUUCUUUUAAAGAUUUUCUUUAAGCUCAGUUAAACUUUGUAUUCGUUCAGACAGGAACUUGAGCAAUGUCUGCCUAUAAUGGAAUAUUUCAUUUCAUUAAUUUUGACACCAAUUACUGAUCUAUGUACAUGUUUGACAAGUAAUAAACAAAAUGCUAAUGUUCUGCCAAUUCUAACUAAUGAAUAUAUUUAAAGUACAGUGUAUUGGAAGUGUAGAUCUUUUAUGACUUGUGUCAAAUAUGGUAAAUGGACUGGAUCAUAAAUAGUACUUUCCUACUAUACCUGAGCAAUCAAAGUGCUUUAUACAACUUGCCUUAUUUAGGCAAAAGAGAAGGCAACUUGGGGUUAGGAUAUUUAGCAUGGAGCAGCCCUGGAUCGAACCACCAAUCUUCCAACUAGUAGAUGCUCUACCUCCU
This is a long non-coding RNA of Astatotilapia calliptera (eastern happy), 1171 nucleotides long. Lineage: Eukaryota; Metazoa; Chordata; Actinopteri; Cichliformes; Cichlidae. The record is from Ensembl.